CAAAAGGCUCUUUUCAGAGCCAUUCAAAAGUUUAAGGAGUUGUGA
Molecule: non-coding RNA, 45 nt
Organism: Fukomys damarensis (Damara mole-rat)
Lineage: Eukaryota; Metazoa; Chordata; Mammalia; Rodentia; Bathyergidae
Source: Rfam